RNAcentral lists this long non-coding RNA (363 nucleotides) under Cyanistes caeruleus (blue tit). Its description in RNAcentral is "lncRNA (ENSCCEG00000013102.1)". Lineage: Eukaryota; Metazoa; Chordata; Aves; Passeriformes; Paridae. The record is from RNAcentral.
GGCAUCCACAACUGAUGCAGUCGUUUAUCCAGCUGGCCUGCUGCAGUACAUAAGAAUAUUGAUGCAGCUUUCUGCUGUACAGGAACAGCUCCAUGGUUCCUUAGGAGUGAUCUGCAGACACCUGGGGUCAUCCCUUUUCCCGAACCCAUAAGUCUGAAUUUCCAGUCCUGGCACAGCACCAAGGAACUAUCAGGAAGUUGCUUUUGAGCUCUGCCUUUCCAGCUGAAAGGAGGUUGGAGGGACAGGAUCGAGGUUUGAGGAAGACAACAAGGAGUCAGAGGAGCUGAAAAAGAUGACCAGAUAAACACUGUAUUUCAGCAGGAAAAAUCCCCAAUAAAAACUGCUGGUUUUGGUAAGAAGACA